CCCGCUGAACUUAAGCAUAUAAUUAGGCGGAGGAAAAGAAAAUAACAAUGAUUCCCUCAGUAAUGGCGAAUGAACAGGGAAAAGCUCAUCCUGAACCUGUGGGGACUAGUCUCCUCACCGGAAUGUAGGGUGUCGACCGGCCUUAGUGGGCCUCCGUCUCCGACAGAAAUCCCCUGGAAAGGGGUACCACAGAGGGUGACAGUCCCGUAUGUCAUUAAGGCGAUGGGGGUCUACGACCUUAGGUUGGAUCGUAGAGUCGAGUUGUUUGGGAGUACAACUCUAAUUGGGUGAUAAACUUCACCUAAAGCUAAAUACGAACGGAAGACCGAUAGCGAACAAGUACCGCGGGGGAAAGUUGAAAAGAACUUUGAAAAGAGAGUUAAAUAGUACCUGAAACCGUUAGGAGGUAAGCGAUCGGCACCAUCGCGCUUUGUAGCUCGCUGGCUAUUCAAUCUUCUGGAGUGUAGAACUGGGUGUAGGGAGUCGGUUUUCGGAUUGGCCCUUUUGCGUCUAGCUCGAAGCUCUAGGGGGUGCACUUAGUUGGUGGGUUUUAUUCAGAGUCAUCUAUUGGGGGGGAAAGCUUCCAAAAAGGUUUCUUUGGGGAGGUAUACGAUCGAGCUUAUCGUAGAGACCCAGAGUUGCCUGCCUACCUUCCUGGUGGAUGAGGGCCUCGAAAGAGGCAUGAGUGGGGGUAUUCUUGGUAAGGGAUCGCGUGUAAUAGCUGCGACCUGGAUCCGGAACCCGCUCUCGAACUCUGACCUUAGAUGGAAUCGAUCGUCCCGUCUUGAAACACGG
RNAcentral lists this ribosomal RNA (795 nucleotides) under uncultured fungus. RNAcentral's name for it is "partial 28S ribosomal RNA". It matches the Rfam family "Eukaryotic large subunit ribosomal RNA", at positions 24 to 664 of the family's 3401-position model. Lineage: Eukaryota; Fungi. The record is from RNAcentral.